GUCCAGGUGAAAGUUGGUCCUGGCUUUAGCCAGAAAAAAAAAUUCUUCUACGUUAAAUAUAAGGAUUGGAACAGAUCAAUGAAGAAAUUACAAUAGACAAAAUAAAUACAUUCGAUCACCUAAGAUUACUAACCUUAAAAUUUCUAAUCCUACGAAACCCAGGAAUUUAAGUUUG
This 175-nucleotide non-coding RNA is filed under the name Pan troglodytes (chimpanzee). Lineage: Eukaryota; Metazoa; Chordata; Mammalia; Primates; Hominidae. The record is from RNAcentral.